Molecule: ribosomal RNA, 253 nt
Filed under: uncultured bacterium
Lineage: Bacteria
Also listed under: 1 other name
Description: partial 16S ribosomal RNA
Rfam family: Bacterial small subunit ribosomal RNA
Source: RNAcentral
GACGAACCGUCCAAACGUUGUUCGGAAUCACUGGGCUUAAAGGGCGCGUAGGCGGGCUGCCAAGUCCGGGGUGAAAUCCUCCCGCUUAACGGGAGAACUGCCUCGGAUACUGGAAGUCUCGAGGAGGGUAGGGGCAUGCGGAACUGUGGGUGGAGCGGUGAAAUGCGUUGAUAUCCAUAGGAACUCCGGUGGCGAAGGCGGCAUGCUGGACCCUUUCUGACGCUGAGGCGCGAAAGCCAGGGGAGCAAACGGG